UACGUAGGGUGCAAGCGUUAAUCGGAAUUACUGGGCGUAAAGCGUGCGCAGGCGGUUAUGCAAGACAGAGGUGAAAUCCCCGGGCUCAACCUGGGAACUGCCUUUGUGACUGCAUGGCUAGAGUACGGUAGAGGGGGAUGGAAUUCCGCGUGUAGCAGUGAAAUGCGUAGAGAUGCGGAGGAACACCGAUGGCGAAGGCAGCCCCCUGGGAUAACACUGACGCUCAUGCACG
This 232-nucleotide ribosomal RNA is filed under the name uncultured bacterium. RNAcentral's name for it is "partial 16S ribosomal RNA". It matches the Rfam family "Bacterial small subunit ribosomal RNA", at positions 524 to 755 of the family's 1533-position model. The record is from RNAcentral.